Molecule: long non-coding RNA, 1954 nt
Organism: Camelus dromedarius (Arabian camel)
Lineage: Eukaryota; Metazoa; Chordata; Mammalia; Artiodactyla; Camelidae
Source: Ensembl
CGCGCUGUUCAGACUUUUCCAUCGUUGUUUGUAUUUGUCGCUGUGCUGUGUUACCAGCGAUGGUUGAGUGUGCCUGCUGUGACUCACUGAAGGCUCACACGAUGGCUGGCCUUUGUAGCAGUAAGCUGGUUUGUCUGUCUGCCUCUGCAGGCAGUGAAGGGGCGCACCUGCUUGGGUGGUGGGCUGCCCUGCCAGCAGUGGAUGGGCCUUACUUGAUCUUUUUCCUGGGCCCCUGUUGUUGGUGUGGCCACAGUAAUUCUUACGCCAUCUGACAGGACGCGGUGCCGGGAAGCAGCACCCCUGGGGCAGGUCAUGUCGUCCCAGUUGUGUUUCUGGGGGAGCUGCCCCGCAGACAGAAGAACCGAGUGCAGGGGGCACGACCAUCCUCCAGCUCUUUGCCCACAAAAAGCAGAUGCAGCUGGGCAGGUGGGACGCCCUCAGGGUCUUCAGUUCAUAGUCUGAAGAGUAGCGUAAACGGGGGUAGGGUAGAGUGAGUGCUUAGCAUGCAUGAGGUCCUGGAUUCAAUCCCUGAUAACUCCAAGUAAAUAAGUGAAUAAAUAACUCCCCAAACUAAAACAAUUUUUUAAAGUAGUAUCAGCAUAAGUUGUCUGUGCCCUGUGGUCCAGUGAUAACUGCUUUGCUGUGGGGUCUGGCAAUGAGCCCACGAUACUGCCAGGGUUUACCUGUGUUUCACUUCGUAGGCCAGUAUUGCCAGGGACUGAGUAUUUAAAUAAUAUGUAGGUGCGCUAAUCAUCAAAUAAUUCAAGGAAAGGGAUUACUGAACAUGACGUAUUCAUUGAGGCAAGAGCGGUUCACUGCUACGAUGCCCUUCGGCCAGGAGCAAGUGUAAAGUGAUACCAACUAGGGAAGUAGCUGCACAAGGCUGUGGGCACUGAGGUUUAAAAGGAAAACAUGAGCCAGAGGUUUUAGGGUAGAGGUAACUUGUUAUUGAUUAGAAAUCGGUGGGGAGGCUCCAGCUCCGUGUUAGAGCGCGUGCUUAUUAGCACGCAGGAGGUCCUGGGUUCAGUUCCCAGUACCUCUAUAAAUGAAUGAAUCAAUCAAUCAAUCUUAAUUUCUCCCACCAAGAAAAAAAAAUCACGUCCUUAAAGUAUUAUUUGAGGACUAUUGAGAGAAAGUAUUAGAUAUAAUGUAAUAAUUUUUUAUAAUGCAAUAAUUUUUGAAAAAGAAUAUGUAAAAUUGCAUCAAAAUCUUUGGGAACGUGUACGUAAGUUGAAACUGUAGGUGUGUUGUGAGUCUAGGGUAACACUGCAUGAAAAAAGUGUAUUGAUACAAUUUGAGUACCAUUACACCAUUUUAAGUAUGGAAUCCAGUGACUUUUUUUUUAGUGGAUUUACGAAGUUGUGAAGCCAUUCACACAGUCUGGUUUUAGGAUAUUUCUAAUGAGCCCCCACCAAAAAUAUUUUCAUUCAAAACAGAAAAAACUCCACGUGAUCUACUUGAAAGGUGGAAACUGGUGAAGUUAGUUCUUUCCUGGUCUCAACCCCGCCCUGGUAUGAAGCCCACUUUGAUGGCAUUAACUUCAAAACAGCUCCUUUAAAUUCGGAAGGGAAGCUGCUCACACCAUAGUCAACAGACCAUCAGUAUUUCUGUCUAGAUACCAUUACUCUCCGUUAAGUACAUCAGAUGUCCAGCAUUAAAGAGAGACCUUUCCUUCCCAUUUUCACCAAGAAUUUCGACUACUUCCCUGUUAAUUUUAGAAUCAUCUUGCUUGUAUUUACAAAAUCUUGAUUGGAAACGUAUCAAACGUGUCAGUCAGUUUGGGGUGACCUGCCAUUGUUUGUGUUGUGUCUGCCAGUCAGUGAACAUGGUGUUUUCCAGAGAUGACCUAAAUGAAAGGCCAUCUUUGAUUUCUUUCGUUAUUUUGUAGUUUUCACCAAAAAAGUCCAUGUUUUGUUAAGCUUACUCAUUUGUCUACUUUUAAUUUUUUUGAGCA